RNAcentral lists this ribosomal RNA (393 nucleotides) under uncultured Pseudomonadota bacterium. RNAcentral describes it as "bacterial SSU rRNA". It matches the Rfam family "Bacterial small subunit ribosomal RNA", at positions 670 to 1060 of the family's 1533-position model. The record is from RNAcentral. Lineage: Bacteria; Pseudomonadati; Pseudomonadota.
CGCGUGUAGCAGUGAAAUGCGUAGAUAUGUGGAGGAAUACCAAUGGCGAAGGCAGCCCCCUGGGAUAACACUGACGCUCAUGCACGAAAGCGUGGGGAGCAAACAGGAUUAGAUACCCUGGUAGUCCACGCCCUAAACGAUGCCGACUAGUUGUUGGGAAUUUACAUUCUCAGUAACGUAGCUAACGCGUGAAGUCGGCCGCCUGGGGAGUACGGUCGCAAGAUUAAAACUCAAAGGAAUUGACGGGGACCCGCACAAGCGGUGGAUGAUGUGGAUUAAUUCGAUGCAACGCGAAAAACCUUACCUACCCUUGACAUGUCACUAACGAAGUAGAGAUACAUUAGGUGCCCGUAAGGGAAAGUGAACACAGGUGCUGCAUGGCUGUCGUCAGCU